Molecule: long non-coding RNA, 1966 nt
Filed under: Bemisia tabaci
Lineage: Eukaryota; Metazoa; Arthropoda; Insecta; Hemiptera; Aleyrodidae
Description: lncRNA ENSSSA1NGG009897
Source: RNAcentral
AUGGCUUUCGCUGCUCUGACCGUCCUCGCCUGCUUGGGCGCCGCCGCCGCCUACGAAUACGACUACGCCCCGGCCAAGAUCGAAGCCGCCCCAGUCCAGGCCAAAUAUGACGUCAUCAGCCAGCCCUCAUACAAGCACGCCCACGCCCCCUGCCCAGCCCCCGUUCCUGAGAUCAAGCCCGUUGUCGUGAAGUCUCAGCUCCCGGUGCCGUUCACCUACGGAGUUCACCGUCAACCCCAGGUCCUCGAGCACCACGCCGCUCCCUCCGUCUUCCACUACUACGGACAACCCUACGUCGUCAAACACACCCAGAGCGCCGUCCUCCACGCCUACACCCAGAAGCCCGUCGUUGUCGACAACUACGAGCAUCCCCAGGUCCAUGAAGAGUAUGCCAAGCCCGCCGUCAUCGUCGAAGAAGCCUGCCCCGAAGUUGAACACUACCACCAUUAAGCGUCUCUCUUGUAAGUUGUUUCUUGCCUAGCGCACCCAUGUUCCUCAGUUGAUCAUAAUACAAACCUGUUGUUAAUUACCUCAAUCCACGCCUCUUCGUUUUUUACUCCUAUCCUGAUUAGCAGUACACUGGAAAAAAAAUGGAUCUAGAGUCCAGAGUCUUGAAAACAUUGACAAGAAAAAAUACUCUUGAUUCAAUCGGCUUUUUGCUUGAAUCAAAACGAAAUCCGCUUAAAUUAAGAGGCUUGGUUCUUGAUUUAAGCUAGAUUCUGAUUGAAUCAAGAGUACUUUUUCUUGUCGAUGUUUUUAAGAGUCUGGACUCAAUGUGUUUUUUUUUUCCAGUGUAGGGCGAAAUCAAAAAGACGGAUGUAACCAGUGGUGAUUCUUGACAAAUUCCUAUACUGUUCUUCCUCCAUUUAAAUGUAUGUAAAUAAAUCGAUUUUUGAUGAGGCUUGCUUCAUCUAAAAUCGAUAUUUUCAACGGAUUUAAAUGGAGGGGAAAAAGUGUUGCCAACUUGUAGAAUCGCAACUGGAUGCAACCAGAAUCAGCCGAACUGCAUUUUACGUGCAUUUCUAUCAUAGUUCGUAUUUUUAUCACAAACUAAACAGCGUACCUUUAUUAAACCCUCAAUAAACUUUCUCUUGAUUUCAAAAAAAUACUCUCACAAAAAUUAAAUCCAGAAUGUUGCUUGGUUUUAUUUAAAAAAAAUAAAUAAAUAAAAGUUGAGAGGAAUUCAGGUGCCCAAAUGGAUGAAUUUAAGCAAAAUUACCCAAAGCACAUCAGGUGUCGCCAGUUUUAUUUUCUUAAACAGAGAACUAAUUGACAUUCAAACUUGACAUUUUUGUGAAUAUAUGUAUUAUUCACAGUCCAGGUGAUCUUCAUAGAAAAAAGUUUCUAGGGUAAAUGUCAUGCAAUUACCCAUCAAAGAAUUAAAACAUGGGUGAUAAUUAGGCACUUUGAAACGCGCACAGGCUUAAGUUAGUAAAAUCCUUUCAAAUAAUGUCUUGAUUUUGUGUGCCAACACUUUAACUGUCUGUGCAGUAGACUUCGCGAAAAGUCUAUAUCUCUGGCAAGAGCAGUUUUAGGCAGCUUUUCUUGUUUUUAAUAAUUUUUCCUCAUUACUUCUAAUUGAGGAACAAAAUGAAGAAACUUAUCUGCUAUAAAGUAGUUUAAUUCCCAGUUUUGACCUCUCUUAAAUUUUCUACGGUAAGAAAAUGCCCAAAAGUUACUCUCUGCUUACUUUCGACGUUCUAGAAGUCAGAGCGCCUAGUAAACAUACUUUAAAACAGAUAGACUUCUCGAUUUUUUGGUAUGACAGAUGAAAAUGAUGACAACAAAUGAUGUGCAUAAAAAAAUCUGUUUAGACCUACUUUUAACAGAGAUGUUCUCUUUUUCAUGAUGUCUGAGAAUGAAUUGAAGUCUCGAGACACAAAAGUGUAAAUUUGUUUGAUUACGACCCUUACCUCCUUUGAAAAAAAACCCUAGAAACUAUACUGAGAAAAAUCGAAUUCAUUAC